GUCUUCGUGGUGUAGUGGUCAGCACGCUCGACACGUAAUCGAAAAGUCCGUGGUUCGAGUCCGGGUGAAGGCA
This 73-nucleotide transfer RNA is filed under the name Stegodyphus mimosarum. It matches the Rfam family "tRNA". Rfam says of the family: Transfer RNA (tRNA) molecules are approximately 80 nucleotides in length. Their secondary structure includes four short double-helical elements and three loops (D, anti-codon, and T loops). Further hydrogen bonds mediate the characteristic L-shaped molecular structure. tRNAs have two regions of fundamental functional importance: the anti-codon, which is responsible for specific mRNA codon recognition, and the 3' end, to which the tRNAs corresponding amino acid is attached (by aminoacyl-tRNA synthetases). tRNAs cope with the degeneracy of the genetic code in two manners: having more than one tRNA (with a specific anti-codon) for a particular amino acid; and 'wobble' base-pairing, i.e. permitting non-standard base-pairing at the 3rd anti-codon position. The record is from Rfam by way of RNAcentral. Lineage: Eukaryota; Metazoa; Arthropoda; Arachnida; Araneae; Eresidae.